ACGCACGCUGGCGGCGUGCCUAAUACAUGCCAGUUGAGCGCUGAAGGUUGGUACUUGUACCAACUGGAUGAGCAGCGAACGGGUGAGUAACGCGUGGGGAAUCUGCCUUUGAGCGGGGGACAACAUUUGGAAACGAAUGCUAAUACCGCAUAAAAACUUUAAACACAAGUUUUAAGUUUGAAAGAUGCAAUUGCAUCACUCAAAGAUGAUCCCGCGUUGUAUUAGCUAGUUGGUGAGGUAAAGGCUCACCAAGGCGAUGAUACAUAGCCGACCUGAGAGGGUGAUCGGCCACAUUGGGACUGAGACACGGCCCAAACUCCUACGGGAGGCAGCAGUAGGGAAUCUUCGGCAAUAGACGAAAGUCUGACCGAGCAACGCCGCGUGAGUGAAGAAGGUUUUCGAAUCGUAAAACUCGGUUGGUAGAGAAGGACGUUGGUGAGAGUGGAAAGCUCAUCAAGUGACGGUAACUACCCAGAAAGGGACGGCUAACUACGUG
RNAcentral lists this ribosomal RNA (496 nucleotides) under uncultured bacterium. RNAcentral's name for it is "partial 16S ribosomal RNA". It matches the Rfam family "Bacterial small subunit ribosomal RNA", at positions 29 to 507 of the family's 1533-position model. The record is from RNAcentral.